GAUGGGGAUGGAAGACCCCAAUCAUUUCCUCUACUUAAUUCAUUGAGUGAUCUCUUGAUGCUACCAAAAGACAUGCUUACAGAUCGUUCAAUCAGAGAAGAGGUGUGCCCUUCGAUUAGUCUUCCGCUGAUUACAAGAAUACUUUGUAAUUUCACUCCAGACGAGUUCUGCCCUGAUCCCGUUCCGGGAACCAUCUUGGAGUCCCUUAAUGCUGAGAGUAUUGUCGAAC
Molecule: unclassified non-coding RNA, 229 nt
Filed under: Hevea brasiliensis (rubber tree)
Lineage: Eukaryota; Viridiplantae; Streptophyta; Magnoliopsida; Malpighiales; Euphorbiaceae
Source: RNAcentral